RNAcentral lists this ribosomal RNA (616 nucleotides) under uncultured bacterium. RNAcentral's name for it is "bacterial SSU rRNA". It matches the Rfam family "Bacterial small subunit ribosomal RNA", at positions 338 to 949 of the family's 1533-position model. The record is from RNAcentral.
CCUACGGGAGGCAGCAGUGGGGAAUUUUGGACAAUGGGCGCAAGCCUGAUCCAGCAAUGCCGCGUGAGUGAAGAAGGCCUUCGGGUUGUAAAGCUCUUUUGUCAGGGAAGAAACGGUGGGGGCUAAUAUCUCCUGCUAAUGACGGUACCUGAAGAAUAAGCACCGGCUAACUACGUGCCAGCAGCCGCGGUAAUACGUAGGGUGCAAGCGUUAAUCGGAAUUACUGGGCGUAAAGCGUGCGCAGGCGGUUUUGUAAGACUGUCGUGAAAUCCCCGGGCUCAACCUGGGAAUGGCGAUGGUGACUGCAAGGCUAGAGUUUGGCAGAGGGGGGUAGAAUUCCACGUGUAGCAGUGAAAUGCGUAGAUAUGUGGAGGAACACCGAUGGCGAAGGCAGCCCCCUGGGUCAAAACUGACGCUCAUGCACGAAAGCGUGGGGAGCAAACAGGAUUAGAUACCCUGGUAGUCCACGCCCUAAACGAUGUCUACUAGUUGUCGGGUCUUAAUUGACUUGGUAACGCAGCUAACGCGUGAAGUAGACCGCCUGGGGAGUACGGUCGCAAAGAUUAAAACUCAAAGGAAUUGACGGNUUGNGAGNGCGAGACGACACGAGGAGAGG